This 467-nucleotide ribosomal RNA is filed under the name uncultured bacterium. RNAcentral's name for it is "partial 16S ribosomal RNA". It matches the Rfam family "Bacterial small subunit ribosomal RNA", at positions 28 to 506 of the family's 1533-position model. The record is from RNAcentral.
GACGAACGCUGGCGGCGUGCUUAACACAUGCAAGUCGAACGGAAAGGCCCUGCUUUUGUGGGGUGCUCGAGUGGCGAACGGGUGAGUAACACGUGAGUAACCUGCCCUUGACUUUGGGAUAACUUCAGGAAACUGGGGCUAAUACCGGAUAGGAGCUCCUGCUGCAUGGUGGGGGUUGGAAAGUUUCGGCGGUUGGGGAUGGACUCGCGGCUUAUCAGCUUGUUGGUGGGGUAGUGGCUUACCAAGGCUUUGACGGGUAGCCGGCCUGAGAGGGUGACCGGCCACAUUGGGACUGGGAUACGGCCCAGACUCCUACGGGAGGCAGGAGUGGGGAAUGUUGCACAAUGAGCGGAAGCCUGAUGCAGCAACGCCGCGUGCGGGAUGACGGCCUUCGGGUUGUAAACCGCUUUCGCCUGUGACGAAGCGUGAGUGACGGUAAUGGGUAAAGAAGCACCGGCUAACUACGU